This 459-nucleotide ribosomal RNA is filed under the name uncultured bacterium. RNAcentral's name for it is "partial 16S ribosomal RNA". It matches the Rfam family "Bacterial small subunit ribosomal RNA", at positions 338 to 795 of the family's 1533-position model. The record is from RNAcentral.
CCUACGGGUGGCUGCAGUGAGGAAUAUUGGUCAAUGGCCGGAAGGCUGAACCAGCCAAGCCGCGUGAGGGAGGAAGGCGCAGAGCGUCGCAGACCUCUUUUGCCGGGGGACAAAAGGCCGGACUCGUCCGGUCCUGAGGGUACCCGGAGAAAAAGCAUCGGCCAACUCCGUGCCCGCAGCCGCGGUAAUACGGAGGAUGCGAGCGGUGUCCGGAUUCAUUGGGGUUAAAGGGUGGGCAGGCGGGCCUUUAAACCGGCGGGGAAAUCGCGGGGCUAACCCCCGCCGCGCCGUCGGAACUGGGGGCCUUGAGUGCGGGGGAGGCAUGCGGAAUGCGCGGUGUAGCGGUGAAAUGCAUAGAUAUCGCGCAGAACCCCGAUUGCGAAGGCAGCGUGCCGUGCCGCCACUGACGCUGAGGCACGAAAGCGCGGGGAUCGAACAGGAUUAGAUACCCGGGUAGUC